Long non-coding RNA from Cyprinus carpio (common carp), 1354 nucleotides. NCBI's taxonomy places the organism in Eukaryota, Metazoa, Chordata, Actinopteri, Cypriniformes, Cyprinidae. The record is from Ensembl.
UAAACCACAUAAACACAAUGCAUUACUCCAAAUACAUAAAAUAAUGCUCUUUUUAGCAACAUCAUAUGACCCCUUCAAUAUAACUCAGACUGGAUUCGUCUGAAAGAAGGACGUCAUAUACACCUAGGAUGGCUUGAGGGUGAGUAAAUAAUGGGCUAAUUAAAAUUUUUGGGUGAACUAUCCCUGUAACAUUUCUUUCUGUGCGCGUUGACUAUGUAAUGUUAGAUAUUGUUUGGAUGGUUAUAGAUAGCUAGCUAAAUCUAUGCUAAAAUGCUUUAAGGUUAACAGUAACUGAUCAAGUUUAACUCACAUUAAACAAGUUAUGUUGUUAAAGCGUGCUUAUUCUUUUACAUUUUGUGUUCUGAUGAUGUCAACUAUAGGGAGAUGAUAAGGGCCUUAAACCCCAGAUAUCAGUCCCCCAGCUGAGACAUCCUCUCAAAUAUCCUCAUACCUGCAUGGUAUGCAGUAGAAAAAGAAAACAUCAAGAAAGAGUUACAAGAUGUGAAGGAUGUGGCUGUGACUGCUGAUGGCUGGACCAGCAUUACACAAGACCUUUACCUGACAGUGUCAGUCCACUAUGUGAGAGAAAGUCCUACAUAGUAUACAUGGGGAAUUAUACAGGGCAGUAUACACAUCCCAGACAGGGGACAUUGUAGCAGAAGAGAUAAGGAGAUAUUCAAUGAAUUCAAUAUAAAGGACAAAGUAGUUGCUGUAACAGUGGAUAAUGUAGCAAACACAGAUGUAGCAAUAAAAAAAAAAAAAAAAAAACGUGUUGCAUUGCUCACUCUCUUAAUAUUGCUUACAAUGGGCAGGAAGGAUCAGAGCAAUGGUGGUGUGGCUGAAAAGAUCCAGCCUGGCUAAACCUGUCCUUAAAGAGAAGCAGCAUCUUCUCGGUAGGUAGAAAUCAAAAAUAGAACAACCUAAGUGCAAAACUCUUUAGCUAAAUAGUUUAGAAAAAAUCCUUUGUUAAAGCAAGUAGUAAAACAUCUCUGCAAAUGAACAUCCACUUUGAUAACCACACACAUACACACACACACACACACACACACCAAUUUCCUCUUUCUCACUCUUGGCCUUCCAGAACAUGCUGUGUGGAAUGCACCAGGUGAAAUAGCCUGUUCCUCUUGGUGGAGCGAUUCCUGGAGCAGUUCUCUGCCAUCCAGGACGCCUCCGUGGACCCUCGGCUUCAGAAAUCAAUGGAGAAGGACAGACUGCAGAGAGAUUCUGACGAGGACAUCAGAAAAGCAGAACAGUUUGUCAAAGAUACUUUACACUUAAACCAUCUGCGUCUCUGCUGAAAGGAGCCCAACCUUGGGUCAGAUUCUGAUCUUGAAUAAACUCCAGCACCACUUCA